GUGGGGAAUAUUGGGCAAUGGGCGCAAGCCUGACCCAGCAACGCCGCGUGAGGGAAGAAGGCUUUCGGGUUGUAAACCUCUGUCCUUGGUGACGAAACAAAUGACGGUAGCCAAGGAGGAAGCCCCGGCUAACUACGUGCCAGCAGCCGCGGUAAUACGUAGGGGGCGAGCGUUGUCCGGAAUUACUGGGCGUAAAGGGUGCGUAGGUGGCCUUUUAAGUUGGAUGUGAAAUACCCGGGCUUAACUUGGGGGGUGCAUCUAAUACUGGGAGGCUAGAGUGCAGGAGAGGGAAGCGGAAUUCCUAGUGUAGCGGUGAAAUGCGUAGAUAUUAGGAGGAACACCAGUGGCGAAGGCGGCUUUCUGGACUGUAACUGACACUGAGGCACGAAAGCGUGGGGAGCAAACAGGAUUAGAAACCCUUGUAGUCC
This 428-nucleotide ribosomal RNA is filed under the name uncultured bacterium. RNAcentral describes it as "partial 16S ribosomal RNA". It matches the Rfam family "Bacterial small subunit ribosomal RNA", at positions 354 to 796 of the family's 1533-position model. The record is from RNAcentral.